AGCUACAUUUUGUACAAGCAAAGAAGAUGUGGUCCAAGUUGCCCUCAUCCAACCCACAUUCACACAAUGAGUUCGCACGGACACCAAUCAUAGCCAGAAAUAACGGAGUACAUACUUUGCCUAAGCGUAAACGGCAAAUGGUGGAUAUUACCCACUUUGGAGAAGUACGGAAUCGAUAGAACCAUGGUUUUCGAGUAAUUCGAGGUUGUACACAGCCAUAAUGUUUACCAGUCUCCAAUCUAGAGAUAUCCCAUUGCCUCUGCCAUGUAUUAAACAUAUCAGAUAGUGCACAACUCAACAGCCUCAAGAAUAGCAACUGCCUCACCUGUGAAAAUGGACGCUUGAGGAGGACAUUUAAAUGGAAGGACGAUAUUGUACCGUGGAAUCCACACCGCUGCUCCCACACAUCUUGCAGGAUCCACCUUAGAAGCGUCAGUAAAAACCGUGACCUCCAGUGCCAGCGCCUGCAAGCGUGGGAGCAGCAAGUGGUUGUUGUAAGAGCUGGCUUUGAUCAAGAACCUGUCGGCGAGGUAUUGUCUGCGUAGAGCCAACGGCGGUUCAACACCUUCCACCUGCAUGCCAUUUUUGGGAGAGGGAAGCAUAGCACCUAGUAUGAUCCUUAAACAUUUAGCCUGUAUAAGAUCUAAUUUAUCUAGACCAUCCUUAUUACAGGGUUCCAUUAAAAAUGCCCCAUAGUCUAUAUGGCUACGUAUGAUGGCAUUGUAUAGUAGCUUCUGGCAAUAAGGAUGGGAACCCCACCAGACACCCGACAAUGCUCGAAGAAUAUUAAUAUUUUUCUCACAUUUACCCAGUACAUAUUUGUGGUGUGAGGUGCCAGACAUUUUAUGAUCUAAAAUAACACCUAGAAAUUUUACUGACUCUUUAUUUGGAAUCAUCACACCACCAUAACGGACAUCUGCGUCAGGCAUGGUCCUUCUGCGACUGAAAGUCACUACACAGCUUUUUGUUGGCGAUAGGGUCAAACCAUGUUCAUCAAGCCAAUCCUUGAGGUAACCCAAAGCUGUAUUAAGACUAGCAGUGGCUUUGUCCAUUGACUUUGCUGAGGUGUAUAAGACUAGGUCAUCAGCAUACUGCAAGAUAUUACAGAAGGAUAGGACAGAUUGCUCCAAGUCGUAGGUGUAGAUACUGUAAAGCAGGGGGCUGAGUACCGAUCCUUGCGGGAGACCACGCCACAAAGUUCGAGGUGGGUAAUAGGAAUUACCAUUCCUAAUUUUAAUUGACCUACCCAUGAACAAUUUGGUGACAAUAUGUACAAUCUUCGCGGGAAUGCUCAGAUGUAGCAUUUUUGCCCUGAGCACCGGAAGAAGGACAUUGUCGUAGGCCGCAGAGAUAUCUAGAAAACAUCCCAGCAGAUAUUCGUUUUUUGAAAGGGUUAGUCGGAUAUCAGUUGCUAAGAUAUUUAAGCUGUCCAUUGUACUACGACCCUUUCGGAAGCCAAACUGCGUGUCAGCUAGAAUACCCUUGUUUUCCACAAACCAUUCCAAUCUAUUUUUAACCAGAUGCUCUAAUAUCUUUCCCAUUGUCGCGGAAAGAGCAAUCGGGCGAUAUGAGCUAGCUUCGUCUGGGUUUUUAGACGGUUUUAGGAUUGGGAUAAUAACUUGGGUCUUCCAGUCAACUGGGAUCUCUCCCGUGUCAAAGGCAUGGUUUAGAAUACCGAGCAGAUACUCCUGUGAAGAUGAAUUGAGCUUAGACAGGAAACAGUAUGGUAUGCCAUCCUCUCCAGAGGUUCAGGGGACGGAAUUGGAAGAAUAGAAGAAGGCUUCGUGAUAAUAAUUGGGAAAUGGUCACUGCCGAACGACUGGCGUAAUACCCUCCAGGAUAAUAAAGAAGACAAACUAGGAGAACACACAGAUAGAUCGAGGACUGACUGGGGGUUCUGUCCUGGGUAUACCCGAUGCGUGGGAGUACCGUCAUUAAUAACUCCCACAUUGAUUUCAUCGAAUAAAUCCAACAGGGCUGAUGAAAAUGCAUCCGAAUGGUAUGACCCCCAUGACAUAUUGUGACAAUUGAAGUCCCCUAAAAUCAUAAGAGGAGGUGGAACCGAUUUGAGAAUAGAUUUUAAUUCAUAUAUAUCAACUACUUCAGG
Molecule: long non-coding RNA, 2107 nt
Organism: Cydia splendana
Lineage: Eukaryota; Metazoa; Arthropoda; Insecta; Lepidoptera; Tortricidae
Exons: 4
Source: RefSeq, a predicted model, not a curated record